GGCUCUUGCAGCUGUCAGGACAGGACCAGAUGUGAAGAACGUGCUCUACUCUGCACCUGGGGAUAAUGGUCCUUCCUGGAGCCUCUGGCAGAUGGUGCCUGGGGAGAUUUGAGGCUGACUGCUUGGAUUCUGGAGCCGAAGCUACAGGGGGUCUGAGGCCAACUACACACCAACAGAGAAGGAGAUCCUAGCAGCCUAUGAAGGAGUUCAGGCUGCCUCAGAGGUGACUGGCACUGAAGCACAGCUUCUGUUGGCACUCUGCCUAUCAGUGCUGGGGUGGAUGUUUGAAGGAAAGGUUCCCUCCAUUCAUCAUGCCACUGACGUGACAUGGAGUAAGUGGAUUGCUUUGAUCACACAGGGCACCCGUAUUGGAAACCCUAAUCAUCCUAGGAUUUUGGAAAUAAUCACAAGUUGGCCUGAAGGUGAGAACCGUGGCCUGGCAGAUGAAGAGGAACAAGUGGCACAUGCUGAGGAAGCUCCACCAUACAAUCAACUAUCAGAAGAUG
This is a long non-coding RNA of Chiroxiphia lanceolata (lance-tailed manakin), 506 nucleotides long. RefSeq lists it as uncharacterized. Lineage: Eukaryota; Metazoa; Chordata; Aves; Passeriformes; Pipridae. The transcript has 3 exons. The record is from RefSeq and is a predicted model, not a curated record.